Molecule: ribosomal RNA, 301 nt
Filed under: uncultured bacterium
Lineage: Bacteria
Description: partial 16S ribosomal RNA
Rfam family: Bacterial small subunit ribosomal RNA
Source: RNAcentral
CAGCAGCCGCGGAAUACAGAGGGUGCGAGCGUUAAUCGGAUUUACUGGGCGUAAAGCGUGCGUAGGCGGCUUCUUAAGUCGGAUGUGAAAUCCCUGAGCUUAACUUAGGAAUUGCAUUCGAUACUGGGAAGCUAGAGUAUGGGAGAGGAUGGUAGAAUUCCAGGUGUAGCGGUGAAAUGCGUAGAGAUCGGAAGGAACAUCUGUGGCGAAGGCGACUAUCUGGGCCAACACUGACACUGAGGCACGAAAGCGUGGGGAGCAAACAGGAUUAGAUACCCCAGUAGUCCCUGUCUCUUAUACC